CAGCUCAACAGCUAGCCCACCCAUUCAACUUCAACCACUACAACUAAAUAACCCCUAAAGCACUUAAUAACAUAAUUAAACCAUUUUUCCCCCUAAGUAUAGGUGAUAGAAAAGGAACCAGGCGCAAUAGAAAAAGUACCGCAAGGGAAUGCUGAAAGAGAAAUGAAACAACNCAGUCAAGCACAAAAAAGCAGAGUUUUACCCUCGUACCUUUUGCAUCAUGCAUUAGCUAGAGCCCUCCAAGCAAAAAGCAUUUUAGUUUGAUUACCCGAAACUAGGUGAGCUACUCCAAGACAGCCUAAUGAUAGGGCAAACCCGUCUCUGUGGCAAAAGAGUGGGAAGAGCUUCGAGUAGAGGUGACAGACCUACCGAGCCUAGUUAUAGCUGGUUACCUGAAAAUUGGAUAGAAGUUCAGCCUCUUGAAUUCUUCCCUCCAUCAGCAGUUAGCUCUAAAUCGAGACACAAAGAAAUCUAGAGAGUUAGUCAAAGGGGGUACAGCCCCUUUGAAAUAAGACACAACUUUAUUUAGGAGGAUAAGGAUCAAACCGAGACAAGG
RNAcentral lists this ribosomal RNA (556 nucleotides) under Atherinomorus sp. WLS-2003. Its description in RNAcentral is "partial 16S ribosomal RNA". The stretch from base 187 to 556 matches the Rfam family "Bacterial large subunit ribosomal RNA", at positions 566 to 1063 of the family's 2925-position model. Lineage: Eukaryota; Metazoa; Chordata; Actinopteri; Atheriniformes; Atherinidae. The record is from RNAcentral.